This is a long non-coding RNA of Patella vulgata (common limpet), 4459 nucleotides long. RefSeq lists it as uncharacterized. NCBI's taxonomy places the organism in Eukaryota, Metazoa, Mollusca, Gastropoda, Patellidae. The transcript has 6 exons. The record is from RefSeq and is a predicted model, not a curated record.
UAGGUCAAAGGUUACUGUGUGAUGUUUACGUUCAGGAAAUGCAAUAAGUUACAGCUGACCAACAAAAAUUAGGGCCAAAGUUCGAUUAAUUGUCGAAAUCAUUUGCCCUAGUUCUUAUUUCGUGGUUUAACCAUAUAUCUUGCAUAAUGUUUUAUUAGAGUAUUCAAGAUUCAAUGUUAUGGAUUCAACGAAACAAGAAAUAAAUCCAGAACGGUGGCUGAAGGUGUUUAAUUUCAUGAAUUUUGACAGAACUUUUUUGACACAGAAAGUCAGCUGUUUAACAAUGGAGAAGUAUAUGUUGGUGAUUUUACUGAUAUUUUGUCUAUGUUCAUCACCAGUUAGUGGCAAGUAUUGUACAUCUUUAAAAUCUCGUCAGAAGAUUGAGACAAAAACAACACAAGAAAUCUGUACAGAGGCCUAUCAAGCUGCUUGUCGCUGGUUUUCUAGUGAAAUGUGUACAUAUUAUGAACAUUUCCAGUGUGAGAAGAAGUUCAAUGAAACAAAGACGUAUUAUUCUAUAGUUCGAGAAUGUUGUCCUGGUUAUGUAUUGAUGUCUAAUAAAACCUGUAUGAAAUUGAAUCCAGCAGACUAUCAUAAGUAUAAUAUAACAAAAGGAUCUGCAUUACCAUCAACUGGUGCUGAUGAAGAUGAUGAUGAGGUCGAUAUAUCACAUGGUGUAUUUGCUGGAAUCGGAUGUGGGGCUGUGUUUAUAAUUUGUGUAACAAUAUUAAUUGUAGUACACAUUAAGAAAAAUGAAAAAAAGAAGAUUAUUAUGAAUCAAAGUACAGUUGGGAUGAGACAUGAAAGAGAUAAAAUGAUUGUUACAGUAAAUACAAAAGAUGAAAGUGAUAAAAAUGAAGCUGCUACUCAAAUGACAUAAGAUAGUCUGGUUUCUUCCAUCUUUGCAAUACCAACAUCUGUAAUCUGAUUUGUUGACAUUUAGGGCCAAUCAAAAGUGCAGUAUUGUUACAAAUCUCAGAAAUUCUUUACCUGUGUUUGUUAUAGUUGUAUACGAUAUGUUAUGGAUCAUAUGUUUCCGGGAUAGAAAAUGGCUGAGAUAUUUACAGCAACUUUAAUCAAGAAAUCUGGAAGAGAUAUGUUUAUCUAAAUUGCCUUUAAUUUAAGUUCAGUUAUAUUUCCAAAAAAUCUAUCGAAGAACAGAAAUGAUUUACAUGUGCCUUUGCCCUUUAAUAUCAAAGAUGAACAAAAUAAAUUGUUGAUCUGGUUUUCAUUUAUUUUUUUAGAAUGACUGUAAAUGUAAAAACUAUAAAAAAAAGCAGGAUUCUUGUUUCUUUUUUCUUUUUAUGAGUGAAUGUUUUUUCUCUUUAAAAGAAGGAAGACCUUGUUUUAAAUUGUGCUGAUCCGAUGGGUUGUUUCAAUUGGAGAAGGUGUAUAUGAUUAAACUUUACUAAAUUUAUAUAUGUUUGUGACUGUUUACCCUUUAAAACAAAACCUGUUAUAUAUCAACAUUAUGGAUCAGCUUAAUCUAUGCACAUAAACAUUUUGACCUCCAGAGAUAUCCAUCUCAAAAACAAAUUCCACCAAAUUAAUAAAACCAACACAUUCAUUUUCACCUAAAUGACUGGGUUCUUGUUUAUAUGUAUAAUAUGUAAAUUUAUUUGUGUGAAUGGUUUGUCUCUUAGUAAAAUGCAGCUCAACUCAUAAAUAGAAUUAAAGAUAAGUUUAUUGGUUUUCCAACUGUUGUCUUAGUGUGACUGGGUCGGCACUAAUGUGCUAUUUCACUGCUAUUGUUUGCUCCAUUAUUCUGGGUCAAUACAUCUCAGUGGAUUUAAUAUCUAGUGCUCACCAUUUGAUACAGUAUUUUAAAUUGUUUUCUGUUAAACACAGGUUUUAUAGGGUGACUUUUAUUACUUAGGAGACUCUGGGAAAACCUAUAACAUUUGUUAAAUUAAGCCUUUCGCAACUGAUUUCCAUCAAUUAUUUUUUACGAUUCCCGCUGUUUUGUGUAGGUUAUUUUCAGUGUGAGUUUCAUCUAUUUAGAUUUAUUGUUAAUUUAAAGAUAUUGGAUAUUGUUGGGUUUCUUACACAAUUCAUGAUGUGUUUUUACAUACUUCAAUUAUUGGUUUUUACAAUAUUAUGCAAUUCUUGAUUUGUUUUUGCAUACUUCAAUUUUGGAUUAAAAAUGUGUUGGUGUUUUUUUAUGCCUACCAGUAUAUUAAAAAAUAUUUAAUAACUUCUAUACUACUCUAUUAAUAAUAAUAAUAACAUUGAAUCAUACACUUUUUAUUUUAAUUGUUUAAAGGACAAGGGUGUUGUAAUAUUUUUUUGUUCAAACAUAGGGAUGCACGAUUGACCAGUCCAAAAUGUCAUUUGAGUAACUGUGAGAAUUAAGGGCAACUGAAUACAUUAGGAUACUAUCUUAACCAAUUACUGUUGGGGUUUGACAAUGUCACAAUUCUACUCAGAUCACUGCAUGUUAUGGAAUUGGCAGAACUGUCACAUAAAGCUAAAAUAAUUCACAUUGUGUAAACCUAAAUCAAUAACAGUUAAUGGUUGCUAUUUGCUGUUGCUCGUUUUUGUUUUUCUCCAGGCAAUAUUCAAUUUGAUUGGAAAUCUGCAUUUAGCUUUCAAUCGUUAUGCUUUUAAGAUGUUUAAAACCAUAAAUCAGUUGAUUGAUUCGUAAACCUAUAAAUAUAUUCUGGUUCUUAGAUACAGCCAUAUCACUUAAAAAGGGGCUGAAUGACCCAUCUGUAUUUCCAAAAAUAAAAACAUUUUCAUUAAUUAUUGCGCCGUCCUAUUCCCUGGAAUCAAGGGAGUUUACUUGGCAUAUACUAUAGGCUCAAUUAUCAAGUACAAAACCCUGAUAAAUGUUAUAAACAAUCAGAAAUGAAACUGGAUAAUUUGUAAACUGACCCACAGUUUUCACAGAUAAAAGUGAUAUGAUCCUUUGACAUAUACUACAGGAUCGAUUAUCAAGAACACAACCCUGAUAAAAGUUACUGACAAACAGAAUUGACCCACGGUUUUCACAAUGUAGGAAGUCAUUUAGCCCAAUGAUCCUUUGACAUUUUUUGAAAGGAUUGUCUAAGAACCAGAAUAGUUUUUUGUAUGGCCUAGAAUUGUGUAUUUUUAUAUUCUUGACUAUUUAUUCUAGACUGUGUUUGGUUGAGAAACAUGCCGUCACAUUAUACAUGUAUGAUUCAUCAAGGAAACAUUUUAUGUUAGACAUUUAUUUAAUGAUAUUUUCUGCUGGUUUUUACUUUUUGUCUUAAAAAUAAUUUUAGCUUGCAUUAAAAUAAAUUACAUUAGAAUUUGAGAGCCAAAGAGGAAAGUGUCCUUAAAUUCUGUAAAUUAUUGUAAUAUAGAAAGUUUUUAAUUGUAUAACAAUGUACACUAGUUCAAUAUUAUAAAAUAUUGAUUAAGAUAUGUGCAAUAUUUCCAGUAUUAAUGAUAUUAUUGAAUUAAUUUUGUAAUAAUUUAGGUAACAGUACUAUUAUAGAGCUAUUAACUGAGCCCCUUAUUUCUAUACUGGUGCUAUAUCUGUAAAUGCAGAUUGGUGAUUUCUUCCAGUUCAGAAAAGGCUGUGUGGAAGGACAAUUAAAAAUAUGUUACUGACCAAUUCCCUGACUAUCAAAUAAAGGCCAUUUGCUUUUCCCAUUCAAUGAUAUUUUUUUUAUUGUUUUCUUUUUUGAGGUGGGGAAUUGUAAGAUUGUAGGUGGGUGGGGUUAUUGGAUAUGGAAUUUGGUCAGGAUCUAAAUACAACAAUUACAGACCAUUUUUACCAAGGGUUAGCUAUCAUUUACUGUUUGAAUGGCAUUUAGUAAUUGAACACAUUAAAAUAAACACGAAAGUUCUAUGGAUAACAAUUACUAUAUUUAAUUAAAGCUACGUUUCAACAAUGAUUCUCUUGUCGUUAUCAAGCACAAUACUGAUACAGACAGAAGGAGUGAAAGCUAUCAUUCACAAUGAUAACACUGAUAGCAGCCAUGGUACUCCCAUAUAGUGAUCCAUUCAGUAGUGAGGUUCCAUGGUACACACAAAUCAUUCCAUGACUUAUAUAAGUAAAUAUUUGUACAUGUAUUAUAAUAUAACUUAGAAAUUAUAAACCUGCUUUUAUUUAUUUAUAAAAAAUAUUUUAUAUUCUUGCCAUAGAUGUAUAACUGUAUAUUUCCUUCCAUUUAUUGUAGGUCUACUUUGAUUCCAAGUAGACUUUGGAUGUAUUUGUAUCAAGUAAAAGAGGCCUUAGUCAAGCCAAUGAAUCAUCUGUAUUCUUAAAAUAUUUUAGUUUUAAGUUUUCAUGAAGAGGACAUCAUGAAAGCAAAGUUUAUAACACAAAUUUAUAAGUUUGCUAUGCCUAAAAUCUAACGGCUAUAACCAGAACUUUUAUACCAAAAUAUGAGUCAAAUUUGUUUCUAUGGAAAUUAUGUCAAAAUUACUGCAAUAGUUUAAUCUGUGUACAAAGUUUCAUAAAAACAUCUUGAACGGUUUAGGAGAUAUC